CCUCUAAUUAUAAAAAAACAAGAUAUCCAUAUUUUAUGAGCCCUAACUCAAAUUUUGAACGAUAUAUUAGAUUUAACUAUACAGCACAUAGGACAUUUGACCAAAUUGACUGGAUGAAACAUUUUUGCUUUUCAUUCAGAGGACCCAGGAUCAAAUUAGGAACUCACUUUGAAAAUUUAUAUGCUAGAUCAAUGAAAUUUUUAGUUUUAGUUAACAUUGCAAUUUCUAAGAACCUAGCCCUGAUGUUAGGCUGAACUCACACAAACCACAAUAAAACCACACCACGACCACAAAACAGUAGAUGCUUGUGGACGGUCGUGAAUUAUAAUUAUAUUAAUAUAGAAACUCA
RNAcentral lists this long non-coding RNA (349 nucleotides) under Androctonus crassicauda. Lineage: Eukaryota; Metazoa; Arthropoda; Arachnida; Scorpiones; Buthidae. The record is from RNAcentral.